Molecule: ribosomal RNA, 253 nt
Filed under: uncultured bacterium
Lineage: Bacteria
Description: partial 16S ribosomal RNA
Rfam family: Bacterial small subunit ribosomal RNA
Source: RNAcentral
AACGUAGGUGGCAAGCGUUAUCCGGAAUUACUGGGCGUAAAGGGUGUGCAGGCGGGGAAGCAAGUGGUGUAUGAAAUUUCCAGGCUUAACCUGGAGGGGUUAUGCCAGACUGCAUCUCUAGAGGACGAGAGAGGGGGGUGGAAUUCCGGGUGUAGUGGUGAAAUGCGUAAAGAUCCGGAGGAACCCCAGAGGCGAAGGCGGCCCCCUGGCUCGUACCUGACGCUCAGCCACGAAAGCAUGGGGAGCGAACGGG